RNAcentral lists this unclassified non-coding RNA (209 nucleotides) under Hevea brasiliensis (rubber tree). Lineage: Eukaryota; Viridiplantae; Streptophyta; Magnoliopsida; Malpighiales; Euphorbiaceae. The record is from RNAcentral.
GACGAUAUCGACGACUUCAAUGGUUAUCGGAACUUCUCUGCUCGUUACGCUUCAAUUCCGGCGCCGUUGAAGACCGGAGGAACCAAGGAUGUUUCUGCCGUCGCGUAAAGGUGCGCUGUGUCUACUAAAAUACGCCGUUGUUUAGUGCUGUUAUUGUCCACACAUUGGGCUGGCUGACAUCGCCGCCGCCGCCGCCGCCACCUCCUCCG